UACGUAGGGCGCAAGCGUUGUCCGGAUUUAUUGGGCGUAAAGAGCUCGUAGGCGGCCUGUCGCGUCGACCGUGAAAACCCGCAGCUCAACUGCGGACUUGCGGUCGAUACGGGCAGGCUGGAGUCCGGUAGGGGAGAGUGGAAUUCCUGGUGUAGCGGUGGAAUGCGCAGAUAUCAGGAGGAACACCAGCGGCGAAGGCGGCGCUCUGGGACGGAACUGACGCUGAGGAGCGAAAGCGUGGGUAGCAAACAGG
This 253-nucleotide ribosomal RNA is filed under the name uncultured bacterium. Its description in RNAcentral is "partial 16S ribosomal RNA". It matches the Rfam family "Bacterial small subunit ribosomal RNA", at positions 524 to 776 of the family's 1533-position model. The record is from RNAcentral.